Molecule: long non-coding RNA, 293 nt
Organism: Dicentrarchus labrax (European seabass)
Lineage: Eukaryota; Metazoa; Chordata; Actinopteri; Moronidae
Exons: 2
Source: RefSeq, a predicted model, not a curated record
CCUAGAUUCACCCAGGAGCACUCCCAACCUGCAGGGGGCAACCAUGCAACAGAGUUGGUGGAACUAACUUCUCAGGAAGUGCUCUUGGGACCAUAUUCACCUGCGCACCCAGAGGGAGUGCAUGGCAUUUGAGAUGUUUGGUAAAAGCUCAGUUGGCCCUCUCACCCAUUCCUGAAGAGGUACUAUGACCACAGCUCCUGAUCAUCUAGAGACGCAACUGGUUAUCAACCUAUUCUGCUCCAUCCCAAUUUAUCAAACCAUCUUCAAGAAAAUAAAAAACCAAAAAGUGAACA